Myotis lucifugus (little brown bat) is the source of this 107-nucleotide small nuclear RNA. The record is from Ensembl. Lineage: Eukaryota; Metazoa; Chordata; Mammalia; Chiroptera; Vespertilionidae.
GUGCUUACUUCAGCCGCCCACGUAUUACAAUUGGAACAAUGCUGAGCAGAUUAGCAUGGUCCCUAUGUUAGGAUGACUUGCAAAUUUGUGAAGUGUUUUUUUUUUUA